Molecule: transfer RNA, 74 nt
Filed under: Podarcis lilfordi (Lilford's wall lizard)
Lineage: Eukaryota; Metazoa; Chordata; Lepidosauria; Squamata; Lacertidae
Description: tRNA.Ile
Source: RNAcentral
GCCUGGAUAGCUCAAUUGGUUAGAGGGUAGUGCUGAUAAUGUGAAGGUUGCAGGUUUGAUCCCUGUAUGGGACA